This 625-nucleotide ribosomal RNA is filed under the name uncultured bacterium. RNAcentral describes it as "bacterial SSU rRNA". It matches the Rfam family "Bacterial small subunit ribosomal RNA", at positions 215 to 837 of the family's 1533-position model. The record is from RNAcentral.
UCGGUUAUCGAUGGGGAUGCGUUCCAUUAGUUAGUUGGCGGGGUAACGGCCCACCAAGACGACGAUGGAUAGGGGUUCUGAGAGGAAGGUCCCCCACAUUGGAACUGAGACACGGUCCAAACUCCUACGGGAGGCAGCAGUGAGGAAUAUUGGUCAAUGGACGAGAGUCUGAACCAGCCAAGUAGCGUGAAGGAUGACUGCCCUAUGGGUUGUAAACUUCUUUUAUAUGGGAAUAAAACAGGGUAUGCAUACCCUCUUGUAUGUACCAUAUGAAUAAGGAUCGGCUAACUCCGUGCCAGCAGCCGCGGUAAUACGGAGGAUCCGAGCGUUAUCCGGAUUUAUUGGGUUUAAAGGGAGCGUAGGUGGAUUGUUAAGUCAGUUGUGAAAGUUUGCGGCUCAACCGUAAAAUUGCAGUUGAAACUGGCAGUCUUGAGUACAGUAGAGGUGGGCGGAAUUCGUGGUGUAGCGGUGAAAUGCUUAGAUAUCACGAAGAACUCCGAUUGCGAAGGCAGCUCACUGGACUGCAACUGACACUGAUGCUCGAAAGUGUGGGUAUCAAACAGGAUUAGAUACCCUGGUAGUCCACACAGUAAACGAUGAAUACUCGCUGUUUGCGAUAUACAGU